This 66-nucleotide transfer RNA is filed under the name Electrophorus electricus (electric eel). Its description in RNAcentral is "tRNA-Ser". Lineage: Eukaryota; Metazoa; Chordata; Actinopteri; Gymnotiformes; Gymnotidae. The record is from RNAcentral.
GAAAGAGGCCUUAAGCAAUAAGGACUGCUAACCCUUACCACCCGUGGUUAAAUCCCCGGCUCUUUC